CUACGGGAGGCAGCAGUGGGGAAUAUUGCACAAUGGGCGCAAGCCUGAUGCAGCCAUGCCGCGUGUAUGAAGAAGGCCUUCGGGUUGUAAAGUACUUUCAGCAGUGAGGAAGGCGGAUGCGUUAAUAGCGUAUUCGUUUGACGUUAGCUGCAGAAGAAGCACCGGCUAACUCCGUGCCAGCAGCCGCGGUAAUACGGAGGGUGCGAGCGUUAAUCGGAAUUACUGGGCGUAAAGCGCAUGCAGGUGGUGUGUUAAGUCAGAUGUGAAAGCCCGGGGCUCAACCUCGGAAUAGCAUUUGAAACUGGCACACUAGAGUACUGUAGAGGGGGGUAGAAUUUCAGGUGUAGCGGUGAAAUGCGUAGAGAUCUGAAGGAAUACCAGUGGCGAAGGCGGCCCCCUGGACAGAUACUGACACUCAGAUGCGAAAGCGUGGGGAGCAAACAGGAUUAGAUACCCUGGUAGUCCACGCCGUAAACGAUGUCUACUUGGAGGUUGUGGCCUUAAGCCGUGGCUUUCGGAGCUAACGCGUUAAAGGGCGAA
RNAcentral lists this ribosomal RNA (540 nucleotides) under uncultured Vibrio sp. RNAcentral describes it as "bacterial SSU rRNA". It matches the Rfam family "Bacterial small subunit ribosomal RNA", at positions 339 to 868 of the family's 1533-position model. Lineage: Bacteria; Pseudomonadati; Pseudomonadota; Gammaproteobacteria; Vibrionales; Vibrionaceae. The record is from RNAcentral.